This 142-nucleotide ribosomal RNA is filed under the name Candidatus Woesebacteria bacterium RIFCSPLOWO2_01_FULL_43_11. RNAcentral's name for it is "partial 23S ribosomal RNA". It matches the Rfam family "Bacterial large subunit ribosomal RNA", at positions 1 to 143 of the family's 2925-position model. Lineage: Bacteria; Candidatus Woeseibacteriota. The record is from RNAcentral.
UAAGUUUUCACUAAUGCAGACAGUGGAUGCCUUGGUACAACCUACCUAAGAAGGACGUACAUGGUGACGAAACUCAGCGGGGAGCUGCCACGAAGCUUUGAUCCGUUGGUGUCCGAAUAGGGAAACCUACUCAUUUUGAGUA